GGUCGCUGACGAGUGGCGCACGGGUGAGUAACGCGUGGGUUACCUGCCCAUAAGUGGGGAACAACUUGGAGAAAUCCAAGCUAAUACCGCAUAAUACCUUCGGGUUAAAGAGGGGGAUCUUCGGACCUCUCGCUUAUGGAUGGUCCCGCGUCUGAUUAGCUAGUUGGUAGGGUAAUGGCCUACCAAGGCAAUGAUCAGUAGCUGGUCUGAGAGGAUGAUCAGUCACACUGGAACUGAGACACGGUCCAGACUCCUACGGGAGGCAGCAGUGGGGAAUUUUGCACAAUGGGCGAAAGCCUGAUGCAGCGACGCCGCGUGCGGGAAGAAGGCCUUCGGGUUGUAAACCGCUUUCAACAGGGAAGAAGGAAUGAGAGCUAAUACCUCUCUGCCUUGACGGUACCUGUAGAAGAAGCACCGGCUAAUUUCGUGCCAGCAGCCGCGGUAAUACGAAAGGUGCAAGCGUUGUUCGGAUUUACUGGGCGUAAAGAGAUCGUAGGUGGCUUGUUAAGUCGGAUGUGAAAUCCCGGGGCUCAACCCCGGAACUGCAUCCGAUACUGGCAGGCUUGAGUUUGGGAGGGGUAAGCGGAAUUCCGUGUGUAGCAGUGAAAUGCGUAGAUAUACGGAGGAACACCUGAGGCGAAGGCGGCUUACUGGACCAAUACUGACACUGAGGAUCGAAAGCGUGGGUAGCAAACAGGAUUAGAUACCCUGGUAGUCCACGCCCUAAACGAUGUCAACUAGCCGUUGCGGGUAUCGACCCCUGCAGUGGCGCAGCUAACGCGAUAGUUGACCGCCUGGGGAGUACGGUCGCAGAUUAAACUCAAAG
RNAcentral lists this ribosomal RNA (826 nucleotides) under uncultured bacterium. Its description in RNAcentral is "bacterial SSU rRNA". It matches the Rfam family "Bacterial small subunit ribosomal RNA", at positions 83 to 906 of the family's 1533-position model. The record is from RNAcentral.